This is a long non-coding RNA of Lepisosteus oculatus (spotted gar), 3078 nucleotides long. RefSeq lists it as uncharacterized. Lineage: Eukaryota; Metazoa; Chordata; Actinopteri; Semionotiformes; Lepisosteidae. The record is from RefSeq and is a predicted model, not a curated record.
AAGACCCCAAAUGAGAGGGAGGUUGUGACUUCCGAAGCCCUCCACUUUGUGAAAAUAAGCGGAUAUGACCUCUGACCUCAGGAAAGGCUAAAAUGUCCGUUACUUCAAAGAUUUAAAGUGGCACGCGUCCUUCUCAGGAUUUGCGAAUAAAUAAAUGGCAUUGGCAAAAUCUGGAAUAAAGUAUUUCAGAAUAACUUCAAAUCUUCAGAAAGAUUAGACGUAGACAGGAGACAAAGACUCUUUCUGCAAACAACAGUAACGGUUGCAGCAAUCUGAAAAAGACUGCAGGUUUCCUGAUUUGAUGUGGUGCCUGACCUGAGGAUUGGAAAGAACCACUGGUGGUCAGACUCGUGCCAGUGUGAUCUCUCAGGAGGCAGAUCUGAAGUGUGGUCCCUGGACUGGCCCUCUCCUCAACGGGCAGUUACUGGAGUUUACAGUACUGCUGCAGUGAUCCCUUUGCUCUUUUUCAAGAGAAUUUAUGGCAGGAGCAGCAGACAAACAGGCCAUCAGGUGGUGCCGACUACAUAGGACAAGCCAUAAAUAUGGACCUGGCCCAGCACGCCUCCCUGACCGGUGCUCAUGCUCGACGGGUGUUGACACAGCUCGCAGGAAAAGUGGGUCACCAGGAAGCAGACGCAGCUCAUGCAGCAAUCACAGAGUAGGAGUCCCUUCAAGAAAACGUUCUCAGUGUGAAAUUCACCUGCCACCUUCUUCCUGAUGAAGAGGGAUCCUUGCAAUUUAGUGAGUUUUUCACCUCAAGGAAAUGUCUCAUAGGAGAGAUGUCAUAUCUCACCUCUGUAACCCUUAAUAAUGUAAUAAAAGAAGCCUGACCAGCCCUGAAGUGAAAUCUUAAACAUCUUGAAAUCUUGAAAUAAGGAAAAAGGAUUUUCAACAAUAUCGCAUAGCUAGGUGAGUCUUGGUCAGCUGCUUCUUAAAUAUCUACAGACAUCACCUUACAUCUUACAUCACCUUUAAGCUGGUACCAUCUACUCAGUAAAGAUGCUCUUUUAUUUUCUGAGGGGGAAUGGAGUUCUGGGAAACAGGAGAUGUGGUGGGCAGUACUGUAGCCAGCCUUUUAAAUCAGACAUGGCAUUGUGAGUCCUCAUGCUUCUUAUCCUAAUUACUAAUUUAACUAAUUAGCUAGACACGAAGUCAAACCACCUGUAUUUGUGUCUUUAAAUCAGAGGUUUCCAGCUUUGGUCUUGGAGAGCCCCAGUCCAGUUAAUCUUAUAGGUUAACGGUGUUUAAACGUGGACAGCACCUGUCUGUCAGCUGUUGAUGAAUCAGGAAAGUCUGUGCUCAGUUAAAAGAGCUCUAGUAAAGGGCUGAAGAGAAUGUAGAUUUUCGCCCUAAAUGAUCUCUAAAUUCUUAAUUUAACAAAUCACCCGUCUAUGUGAUCACAAUAGAGUUGUUUCAUGUCUCUACAAACUGGUGGUUUAACGCUGGCCUUAUUGGUUGCUAGUUGAAAAGUACCUAUAAAAUACAUCGGACUCCAGCUCUCAAAUUCUCAAAACCUUUUCCUUCUGUUGUAAAUCACUUUCAGGAGAUGCUUUGCAGAAAUGUAUUUUGCAGGAGAUGCUUUGCAGAUCCACACUGUUUAUUUAUGUUUCGAUUGCUCUUGCCAGCUUGGAAACCGAUAUGCCUGAAGUAGACAUUAGGCAAGGGGUUCAGGGCUGAGUCUUCAGAAAACAUAACCCAUGAUAAUAAGUGCUUUGAAAGUGGUUUUUGGAAUUAAAAUGAUUCAGCUUUCUCAAAAAGCAUUUGUUUUCUUAAAAGAGGUGUAUUCAAAAUCUUCUGGCCCAGAACCAUUUCAAAACUCAAACCCCAUUGAAUGUAUCCACACAACAGAAAGUAAUUUCAAAAUCCACAAAUGCAGCUCAGUGUAAACACAAGCAUAGCAACAGGGCUUUCUCUGAUCUUUUUCUCUCCUUCGCAUCUUGUCUUUUAUCUAGCAUGACAAUAAGAUCGUGUGCUUCUUGCGUGUUGUUAUGAAUAAAGUAGUUGAACUUAAUCAAGCACAAGACCUGUAAUAACAUAACUAGGUUUAAAAGUUUUGACAUGUAAAUUAAAUUCCAAACUAUGAAAUCUCUCCAAAUCUUUAUUAAAGCAGAUCAAAAAUGAAGAAACCAGGAUUUAUAGUGAAACACAUAGCGAGGAACACAAGUAGGAAAAAAAGGAGUGGCAUUAAAGAAUAUGAACAGGAGAUACACCUUUACAUAAAGAGUGGCAGGUGACUGCAACUAGUUGCCCAGCUAUAAGAAUACCCUGGAUGUCUUCAUAAAAAAGCUGAGUGAGAUGCUUAGAUCAGCUUGCUACUGGCAGCCAAGAGAGCAGGUAUUCUCCUCUAUAAUAAGUACAUUCUCUUAUGUGCUGGUGGGUCUGAAACAUUUGGAAGAGGCAUCUCACGUAUUAAAUCCCAGAUGUGCACUUUGUCCCUGAGAAGGGGCCUGUCAGAUGCUGCCUGUGCUCAGAGGCUCCUGAAGGGAUAGGGAGAGAGGAGUGCUGACAACAACAGGCAGGAUUUUCCACACAGUUACACAGCUGCAGUCAUUGUCCCUCACACCACCUGUGAGAAUGGAAAAGGACCGGAGCCUUUUAAAAAUGCACCACACUGUCCCCCGGGGAGCCAAACUCUCUUGGGGAUUCUUUGAAUAGAAAUCUCUCUUUAUUUUCAUGGAGUCAUUAAAUGAUGCAAAUGUUUUCAAUAUCCAGAAAAAUGUCAGGUCUCUGUUCAUCAUAGGUUUUGCUGUUUUGUAAGAAGAGACCAUUGUGUGUACACUGAGAUCGGGAACAGAGAAAGUAGUGAAAAGGCACAUGGGGAUGACCUUUAAUGUGUUUCUUGUCGUAUGAAGAAUAGAAACCCAUUCACAUUGCUGUGUGAAUGUGAUGUGAGUGAUGAAGUGGCAGUUUAAAAAAAAGUGCCUUCCAGAAUCUACUGUAUGAUUUAAUUUACAAUGUUAAGGAGUAUUCCUACUCGUCUGCAUGUGAUCAUAACAAAAUCCCCCUGUGACGACGGUGUAUUCGGUUGUCUGUCGCCCGCACUUCACAGUUUCUAAUAACAUCAAAUCCCCUAAAAAC